AUUGAACGCUGGCGGAAUGCUUUACACAUGCAAGUCGAACGGCAGCACGGACUUCGGUCUGGUGGCGAGUGGCGAACGGGUGAGUAAUGUAUCGGAACGUGCCCAGUCGUGGGGGAUAACGUAGUGAAAAUUACGCUAAUACCGCAUACGAUCUAUGGAUGACAGCGGGGGAUCGCAAGACCUCGCGCGAUUGGAGCGGCCGAUAUCAGAUUAGGUAGUUGGUGGGGUAAAGGCCCACCAAGCCAACGAUCUGUAGCUGGUCUGAGAGGACGACCAGCCACACGGGAAAUGAGACACGGUCCAGACUCCUACGGGAGGCAGCAGUGGAGAAUUUUGGACAAUGGGCGAAAGCCUGAUUCAGCCAUUCCGCGUGCAGGAUGAAGGCCCUCGGGUUGUAAACUGCUUUUGUACAGAACGAAAAGGUUUCUACUAAUACUAGGAGCUCAUGACGGUACUGUAAGAAUAAGCACCGGCUAACUACGUGCCAGCAGCCGCAGUAA
This 500-nucleotide ribosomal RNA is filed under the name uncultured bacterium. Its description in RNAcentral is "partial 16S ribosomal RNA". It matches the Rfam family "Bacterial small subunit ribosomal RNA", at positions 30 to 523 of the family's 1533-position model. The record is from RNAcentral.